AUUGAACGCUGGCGGCAUGCCUUACACAUGCAAGUCGAACGGCAGCACGGGAGCAAUCCUGGUGGCGAGUGGCGAACGGGUGAGUAAUAUAUCGGAACGUGCCCAGUCGUGGGGAUAACGUAGCGAAAGCUACGCUAAUACCGCAUACGAUCUACGGAUGAAAGCGGGGGAUCGCAAGACCUCGCGCGAUUGGAGCGGCCGAUAUCAGAUUAGGUAGUUGGUGAGGUAAAGGCUCACCAAGCCGACGAUCUGUAGCUGGUCUGAGAGGACGACCAGCCACACUGGGACUGAGACACGGCCCAGACUCCUACGGGAGGCAGCAGUGGGGAAUUUUGGACAAUGGGCGCAAGCCUGAU
RNAcentral lists this ribosomal RNA (356 nucleotides) under uncultured bacterium. Its description in RNAcentral is "bacterial SSU rRNA". It matches the Rfam family "Bacterial small subunit ribosomal RNA", at positions 30 to 387 of the family's 1533-position model. The record is from RNAcentral.